Bacillus rossius redtenbacheri is the source of this 5721-nucleotide long non-coding RNA. RefSeq lists it as uncharacterized. NCBI's taxonomy places the organism in Eukaryota, Metazoa, Arthropoda, Insecta, Phasmatodea, Bacillidae. The record is from RefSeq and is a predicted model, not a curated record. The transcript is spliced from 4 exons.
CCUUCUUUAUUAUCUCUACGCCCAAAAUUGCGUCUAAACAUAAACAUUCGAGUGGAUUAUAGAAGUUGAUAAAUGUAAAUGAAAAUGUUUUGUAAUCAAGCUAAUAGCACAGAAUUAGCACAGACAGUAGCUUUCGUGGCAAAAAAGUUCUCAGAAGAUGGCAUAUUAGACAGCAUGGAACAAGCAAUGAAAAAAAUUCUGCAAGAAAGCAAUGACUUUAAAGAGAUGGAAGAUUCUUUGCGCCGAAUCUGUGAAAAUCCUGGACAUGUAAACUAUGGCGAAAUAUUUUGUGAAAUGGCAGAAUCUAGUAAUGAUUCUGAGCCUGAAAAUGAAUGUUUGGACAUGCAGAUUUUGGAACUUUUAACUAAAAAUAGCAAUAUGCAGUUGAGUGCAGAAACUAAGAAGAAAAUAUUUCAGGAAUGGAAAAAAAUCCUGAAAGAGAAGAACAGAAAGAAUCAUUAGCUAUAAUCAUCAUUGUAAUUGAAGGUACUACAUUAUUCAUGAAGGUUUUUGAUAGGUUGAAAAGUUAUCAAGAAAAUGGUAACCAACUGUGCAGAGAGAGUCAAAGAUGGCUAAAAAAAUAACAGACUACGAAUGACGUAACACGCACUGUCGAAUAAGGACACGUACUACGUAUUUACGAGAAAAUGAGGCCUUGUUUAAUAAGGAAAAUUAUUUUAACAAGUUAUGUGCCUGUUAGAAUUAUAUGAUGGAAAUGCAGGUAUUAACAAAGAAGCGGUGAUUUUUGUUUUCAAUGAAAAUGAAAGUUUCAUUUAAAGUGAUGUGCCGGAAGUGCAGACAUAAAUAAUGAUUGGCAUUAAAAAUUAAAUACAAACUGAAUGCAACACCAUACAUGAGUGACAAAUUGUGUAUAAUUUUUUUGUCCAUGGUCAAUUGCAAAAUUCUUAAUGUUUUAAAUAAAUGAUAAUAUUUUAAGAGAUAAAUUACAUCUCUUUAAAAUUAUACACAGCAAAAUAUGCUCACUAAUAUUUAAAAUGUUCAGCUCCUUACACUAAAAUGGUCUUAACAGUUGUUUAUUCUGCUAUAGAAUACAAACUAUUUUCCUUAAUCCUCUUUAUAACAAAGUCACUAUUAGGGAACAGGUAGAUGUCUGCUAUUUUCAUCUAGCCAAAACCCUUGAUACUGUUAGUGAUUCUAUAUUACUUGGAAAGUUAUCUAAUUUUGGCUAAGUGACAAUGUGGUCAAUUGGUUCUCUAGUUAUCUUAAGAGUAGAAGUUUUUUUUGUGUCCAUUAACUCUUCUUAUUUUAUGCAAGUUCUGAAGUAUCUCAGGGAGGUACAUUGUCACCAUUACUCUUCAGUAUAUUUCUUAAUAUACUAGUGUACUGUUUGCUGACAAUCUCAAAAUUUGUAGAAAACUGGUUGCUCUUAAUGAUUGUUUCUUAAUUCAAACCGACAGUAACAAAAUUAAUUAUAUUAAUAAUCCAUAAUCACAUCUCUUACCAGACUACAUUGGCCAAUUAAAUAUGAUUAUAAGUUGGAUACCACUUUAAUUUCCAAAAUUCUAUUAUAAAAAGAUAUUGGCAUCAUUUUGGAUUCUAAAUCAGUAUGUAGAUUAUUUAAUUUCUUUAAUCACUUUAUUUAUCAGAUCUAAAUUAGAAUACUGCUCAGUAAUUUGGAAAAUCAAUUCAUCUGAUAGUGACAAAAUCGAAAGCUCACAUAAAAUAAUUAAACUUUACUUUUCCUUAACCUAUUUUAGCUUGCCUUCUUCUCAGUGCAUAAUAUAUUUAAAUUCUAAAAUAAAUUUUAAAUAUAUUCUAGAUAAUACUAUAGAGUUCCCGAAUUCAAUAGUCAGUUAAUAUCCUCUUUGAGCACAGUUCAUAACAAUAAUAUUAUAUUUAUUAAGUCACUAUCAAUAUUAUAAUUUUAAAUGACAAAACUUCUUUAAAAUCUAUAUGUACUAAACAGCUCACAAUGUAUAAUCGUUUAUUAUCCAUGUGUAAUAUGUACUGUAAAUGUUACAUCUAAUGGUUAUGUUUCUUCCUGUAUUACAUUAUGUAUUAAUUGUAAUUGUGAUAAGCUUCUCUUUGUUACCACUUAUUUCAGUGUUUGAUUUGUCUGCUGCAGUUUCUGCAAGUACUAUGUGGUAAUGGCUGCUUGCGUAUGUCAGCCAACUGCAGUAGUGCCUAGCUCUUGCUGAGACCACAUUGUCUUGUGUAUUUGUGUCUCGUGCUCACCGUAAAAGUCUUCCAACUGUUGGCGGGCAUGUGACAAAUAAAAAUAAUUAAAUGAAGUUCUAAAUAAAAUUUUUUUAGCUAUAGCCUGUCUCACGCUUAGAGUGCAGUACAGCUAGCAACUCUGUCUCUGGGUCAUGACGUGGCCUGUGUGGGUGUUAGGCUCGUUCCCCCACACGGCGUUAAAGACUACCCCACCAAUCCGCUCUGACACUGUCGAUUGAUGGUCGUCGGUGGGCUCUGAGGACGUCCCACACGCCCCGGUCCCCUAUGCAGGGAGCACACGUACUCACAGAUCUGGUCGGAAGGCUUUAUUUAGUCGAGACAUACACGAGUGAACACAGUUAUGAAAAUAAACUCUACGCAAAAAGAUGCUAACUGCAAUUCAACUGGUUUAGAGUUUAGAGAUGCACCAGGACACCACGUGGCCUUGCCUAGAGAUUAAGUCACAUCGUUGAUUUAAAAUGUCCUGGACUUAAACGGUUCAUUAAACAGUCUGCUACCCGGGGCAAGCCUCUAAGAUAAAGAAAAAGGUUUAAGUGAUAUUAAUGACGCCUGAUGCUAAAUAUCAGUUUAAAUAGAACGGUAAAGUUGACGAGGUGUGUAGGAAGGGUCCUACCCCAGGCAGAUUGGGCGAUCGUCCGGGUGUCAUGGCGGCAGGAAGCAGUUUAAUUACUGCUAGGCCGUUUAUAUUUACGUGACGAAACAGAUAACACAACAGAACCUUUCGAGCACUGAAUAAUAAAUUACAAUUGAUUAUUACGUAUUAAUAACAUUUAUUUGUAUUUUUAAUUGUUAAUUAAUAAUUAAGUUCAAAAAUAAACUGCCCACGUCAGGGUGCGUUCCAAAAGGGUUUGUGCUUUGCGCUGUUCCGUCAUUACUUAAGCUGAAAGAAAACAUAACACCCAAGGGAUGAAAUAUAAGUAAAAUUACAAACUAUAUUAAUUAAAGUAUUAUUUUAAGGGUGCGUGGCACAGACUCUAAGUCGCCUCUUGCUGGGCGGACAAACACACACAUGCGCACACACUCGGCGGAAGGUUUUAAUUGGAGGGUGAUGGUGGGGGGGGGAGGGGCCUGAAGUGGGGUGAGGCACAUCUGGCUUAUGGUAGGUGCAGCCUCGAUUGACAUCAGUAUAUAAAAAAAAAGAUAGUGUCUUUUAGUUACCUUAGUUUCCUUAGAAUUACAAAUGAAAUAUCAGAUAAUGCUCUUAAUUAAAUACAACACGCAAAUGUAUUUUCAAAAUUUUUUAUCACAUUAUGAAGUUGUUUCUGUAACUUGUAUGCUCUUUGGAUACAUGUGGCAACAGUGCACACUGAAACCAGAAUAGCACUAAUACAAAAUAUUAUGCAUUGGAAAGAGAGAGAGUGCAUACUGGAAUCUAAGGAUGAGAAUAACUAUAACACUUACUUAAGAUUAAAAUUUAUAGCUUAUAUCAGUGGUGCUCAACAUUUUUUGAAUCAUGGUUUUUUUUUUUUCCCCUCAACUUAAAUGUUGCUAACCGCACUGUCACAUACACAUAUCGUAAACAAUUUUUUUUCUUCAUGAGGCUUUGUGUAUUCUUAUUUUACAAGAUGACUAAAAGCAACUAAUCUAAAUUCGUUGAUUUAAAAAAAAACUGUUUGUAUAUUAACAUUUCUAAGAAUCUGCCAACCAAUGUUUUUCGAAUUUCAUAAAAGUCAAUACUAAAUACAUUUAAAACCUCUAGUUAAUGUGCCAUGCUACUGCAAACUCUAGUUGAUGAUUUUUCAGUUUAAUAUUUACUUAACUGUGAUCAUGAGUACAAGAGUCAGUGCCAGAGUGGUUUGGGGACCUGUACUUAUAGUCCAUGAAAUAGUGCACUUGUUCUGACAGUUUCAUGUGAUGCAUUAAGUUGUCAUUCUCCACCAGUUAUGACAUUGAAUAAAUAUCCAAUCAUUUACCAGUAUUUUUUCUCAGAAAUGUUGAAGAAUAUUCCAAUCUCUAACUAAAAAUUUGGACAGAUUACCUGGUGGAAAAGUGCUCUCAUUAGUGGAAUAUGUGAACUUAAAUUUUGGAGAGCCCAUCGCGUUAAGCCUAUGUGUGUAGCCAUACGGGAUAAAAUGCUACCUUCAUAUUUCAUCUCAUUGUGAAUUUACACAUAUUGUAGCUUGGGGUGGUUGAAUAGAAAGGCAUAUCUUUGCUUAUAAAAUACCAAACAUACUAAAGCUGCAACUUCGUAAAUUCACAGUAAUAUUUUGAGGUGCACAUUGUAUUUGUAUUGUAUUUUAUUGCAUAAUUGUUGCACAUUUAUUGCUUAAAAGUAGCAUAAAAUUAGGGUUGCGAUUUUUAUGCAAGAAAAGCAUUUUUGUUAAGGUUUUUUUCAUUAAAAAGUAGAGUAUAAAAAAUAAAGCAUGCCAAACAAUUAAAUUAAUUAGCCAUGCAACAAAAACAUAUUUCCUAAACUUAAAAUAGAAAAAUGCAAAACGUGAGCAAAAACUAACAAAGAUUAAUAUCGUUGCAGUACACAAUAACUACAAAAGAGUGCAGGCUAUCAAAAGCAGUUUACUUGGCACGAGACAAAGUGCUCACAUUGUAUGCAAUUGGCGAGCUAUCGUUAUCAGACUACAUGCACACACACUACACGGGCAUUAACGUAACCAAACAUGAUGAUCCUGUCUAGAGCUGGCUACAUUUUUAUACGAACUACACAGAGGCGACAAAAAAUUAAAGGUUAAAAGUCUUUAAAAGGAAAUUUACAUAUUGAAAAAAUUUGAAUUUUUGUUAAUUAAAUUUAUAAACGGUAAUAUCCUAAUAGAUUUCAACUUUAAAAUACAUUGAAACAUUCAUCUUAUAGAGAAAAUGUCAGGAUCAAAACAUUUGACCAUAUUGGACAGGAAAUUGUAUUGUGCUGGUACAUCUUAAAUUAGUUUUACUGUAUUUUCCCAUUAUAACUAUCACAUUGCCUGACAUCAACUUGAAAACCGAUUGCUGUAGCAUGGUAAUUUGUCCUGUGAUCUUCGGCAAGGACACAUUUACUACCGACACAAAGCGCUCGGAAUCUAACAGCGGGACCAAAAACAUCAUGCAACGUUUAUGCGAUGACUUUUUCUUUUACAAAUUUUGACGCUCUAAAAUAGUGCAACGAUUAUGUAACAAAACACGGUAAUACUGUUAAUCUUAAAAUCACACACAUAAAACGUAUACAUUGAUAUUCAGGAGCAAUUUUAUUGUUGACUUCAUUCCUAAUAAUCAUGUAUCUGUACGUAUAAACAAAAAGAAAACAGUGAGUUACCGCUGCAAGCAGUGAAACUGUCACAUUGCAUAAUUAUGGAUUGUAUUAGAACUUAGUCCUAUAGAGCUGCUAAAAGAAAUAUUGCAUUAAUAAUGGUUUUAUAAUAAUUUGAUAAUUAAGCUAAGUAUCAUGUUGUUAUCCUCUGGAAUUUUAAAAUGUGAGAUUUGUAUUUUUUUAUAUGUAUGUGCAUUUUAAAAUGGUUUUGUUAUCACUUAUCACAUUAUUACACUUUUGCCAAUUGUAAAAUUUUGAUAAUAAAUUUAUACUAUUUUUGUGAA